Molecule: small nucleolar RNA, 54 nt
Filed under: Thermococcus kodakarensis KOD1
Lineage: Archaea; Methanobacteriati; Methanobacteriota; Thermococci; Thermococcales; Thermococcaceae
Description: Small nucleolar RNA sR36
Rfam family: Small nucleolar RNA sR36
Source: Rfam by way of RNAcentral
GGGGAUGAUGUGAGGGUAGGUGGCUGAGAAGUGAUGACCUAAUCGGCCCUGACC